ACAAACAGGAUCUCCUCGACUAACACCGACAGAUAAUAAAAAUCAUGUGAAACGAAAGGGUCAAACAACAACGCAACAUGUUAGAUCACCAAAUUCACCUUUGGAAGGUCAUUCUCCAAACGCACCCAAUGAAAAUGGUUCGUCGUUCCUACCACAUUCUCCAUCAUCGUCACCUGGUCAAGAAGAAAGUGUGGAGAGUCCUUCAGGUUCCGCUAGGGAAACACCUACAAACGAAGCAAGUUUCAUUGGAAGAUCACCAAAUAAUGAAGUACAUUUGAAAACAUCAAGUGGGGUUCCUUCGUCAACACCUACAAUUGGAAAAUCAAUUCCAUCGUUGGAACCACAACAAGAAGACAUGGCAUCUCCUCAACCAGUUUCUUCUCGACUAACACCGACAAAUAAUGAAAAUCGUGUGAAACGAAAGGGUGAAACGACAACGCAACAUGUUGGAUCACCAAAUUCACCUUUGGAAGGUCAUUCUCCAAACGCACCCAAUGAAAAUGGUUCGUCGUUCCAACCACAUUCUCCAUCAUCGUCACCUGGUCAAGAAGAAAGUGUGGAGAGUCCUUCAGGUUCCGCUAGGGAAACACCUACAAACGAAGCAAGUUUCAUUGGAAGAUCACCAAAUAAUAAUGAAGAUCAUUUGAAAACAUCAAGUGGGGCUCCUUCGUCAACACCUACAAUUGGUAAAUCAAUUCCAUCGUUGGAACCACAACAAGAAGACAUGGCAUCUCCACAAACAGGAUCUCCUCGACGAACACCGACAGAUAAUAAAAAUCAUGUGAAACGAAAGGGUCAAACAACAACGCAACAUGUUAGAUCACCAAAUUCACCUUUGGAAGGUCAUUCUCCAAACGCACCCAAUGAAAAUGGUUCGUCGUUCCUACCACAUUCUCCAUCAUCGUCACCUGGUCAAGAAGAAAGUGUGGAGAGUCCUUCAGGUUCCGCUAGGGAAACACCUACAAACGAAGCAAGUUUCAUUGGAAGAUCACCAAAUAAUGAAGAUCAUUUGAAAACAUCAAGUGGGGCUCCUUCGUCAACACCUACAAUUGGAAAAUCAAUUCCAUCGUUGGAACCACAACAAGAAGACAUGGCAUCUCCUCAACCAGUUUCUUCUCGACUAACCCCGACAAAUAAUGAAAAUCGUGUGAAACGAAAGGGUGAAACAACAACUCAACAUGUUGGAUCACCAAAGACACCUUUGGAAGGUCAUUCUCCAAACGCACCCAAUGAAAAUGGAUCGUCGUUCCUACCACAUUCUCCAUCAUCGUCACCUGGUCAAGAAGAAAGUGUGGAGAGUCCUUCAGGUUCCGCUAGGGAAACACCUACAAACGAAGCAAGUUUCAUUGGAAGAUCACCAAAUAAUAAUGAAGAUCAUUUGAAAAUAUCAAGUGAGGCUCCUUCGUCAACACCUACAAUUGGUAAAUCAAUUCCAUCGUUGGAACCACAACAAGAAGACAUGGCAUCUCCACAAACAGGAUCUCCUCGACUAACACCGACAGAUAAUGAAAAUCAUGUGAAACGAAAGGGUCAAACAACAACGCAACAUGUUGGAUCACCAAAGACACCUUUGGAAGGUCAUUCUCCAAACGCACCCAAUGAAAAUGGAUUGUCGUUCCUACCACAUUCUCCAUCAUCGUCACCUGGUCAAGAAGAAAGUGUGGAGAGUCCUUCAGGUUCCGCUAGGGAAACACCAACAAACGAAGCAAGUUUCAUUGGAAGAUCACCAAAUAAUGAAGAUCAUUUGAAAACAUCAAGUGGGGCUCCUUCGUCAACACCUACAAUUGGAAAAUCAAUUCCAUCGUUGGAACCACAACAAGAAGACAUGGCAUCUCCUCAACCAGUUUCUUCUCGACUAACACCGACAAAUAAUGAAAAUCGUGUGAAACGAAAGGGUGAAACAACAACUCAACAUGUUGGAUCACCAAAUUCACCUUUGGAAGGUCAUUCUCCAAACGCACCCAAUGAAAAUGGUUCGUCGUUCCAACCACAUUCUCCAUCAUCGUCACCUGGUCAAGAAGAAAGUGUGGAGAGUCCUUUAGGUUCCGCUAGGGAAACACCUACAAACGAAGCAAGUUUCAUUGGAAGAUCACCAAAUAAUGAAGAUCAUUUGAAAACAUCAAGUGGGGCUCCUUCGUCAACACCUACAAUUGGUAAAUCAAUUCCAUCGUUAGAACCACAACAAGAAGACAUGGCAUCUCCACAAACAGGAUCUCCUCGACUAACACCGACAGAUAAUAAAAAUCAUGUGAAACGAAAGGGUCAAACAACAACGCAACAUGUUAGAUCACCAAAUUCACCUUUGGAAGGUCAUUCUCCAAACGCACCCAAUGAAAAUGGUUCGUCGUUCCUACCACAUUCACCAUCAUCGUCACCUGGUCAAGAAGAAAGUGUGGAGAGUCCUUCAGGUUCCGCUAGGGAAACACCUACAAACGAAGCAAGUUUCAUUGGAAGAUCACCAAAUAAUAAUGAAGAUCAUUUGAAAACAUCAAGUGAGGCUCCUUCGUCAACACCUACAAUUGGUAAAUCAAUUCCAUCGUUGGAACCACAACAAGAAGACAUGGCAUCUCCACAAACAGGAUCUCCUCGACUAACACCGACAGAUAAUAAAAAUCAUGUGAAACGAAAGGGUCAAACAACAACGCAACAUGUUAGAUCACCAAAUUCACCUUUGGAAGGUCAUUCUCCAAACGCACCCAAUGAAAAUGGUUCGUCGUUCCUACCACAUUCUCCACCAUCGUCACCUGAUCAUGAAGAAAUUGUGGAGAGUCCUUCAGGUUCUGCUAGGGAAACACCUACAAACGAAGCAAGUUUCAUUAGAAGAUCACCAAAUAAUGAAGAUCAUUUGAAAACAUCAAGUGGGGCUCCUUCGUCAACACCUACAAUUGGUAAAUCAAUUCCAUCGUUGGAACCAAAACAAGAAGACAUGGCAUCUCCUCAAACAGGAUCUCCUCUGCCAACACCGACAAAUAAAGAAAAACGUGUGAAACGAAAGGGUCAAACGACAACGCAACAUGUUGGAUCACGAAAUUCACCUUUGGAAGGUGAUUCUCCAAACGCACCCAAUGAAAAUGGUUCGUCGUUUCAACCACAUUCUCCAUCAUCGUCAC
RNAcentral lists this long non-coding RNA (3110 nucleotides) under Zostera marina. RNAcentral describes it as "long non-coding RNA (ZMAR_LNC004438)". The record is from RNAcentral. Lineage: Eukaryota; Viridiplantae; Streptophyta; Magnoliopsida; Alismatales; Zosteraceae.